AACGAACGCUGGCGGCAUGCCUAACACAUGCAAGUCGAACGAUUGCCUUCGGGUGAUAGUGGCGCACGGGUGCGUAACGCGUGGGAAUCUGCCCUUAGGUUCGGAAUAACAGCUGGAAACGGCUGCUAAUACCGGAUGAUAUCGCGAGAUCAAAGAUUUAUCGCCUGAGGAUGAGCCCGCGUUGGAUUAGGUAGUUGGUGGGGUAAAGGCCUACCAAGCCGACGAUCCAUAGCUGGUCUGAGAGGAUGAUCAGCCACACUGGGACUGAGACACGGCCCAGACUCCUACGGGAGGCAGCAGUGGGGAAUAUUGGACAAUGGGCGCAAGCCUGAUCCAGCAAUGCCGCGUGAGUGAUGAAGGCCCUAGGGUUGUAAAGCUCUUUUGCCCGGGAAGAUAAUGACUGUACCGGGAGAAUAAGCCCCGGCUAACUCCGUG
This 435-nucleotide ribosomal RNA is filed under the name uncultured bacterium. RNAcentral describes it as "partial 16S ribosomal RNA". It matches the Rfam family "Bacterial small subunit ribosomal RNA", at positions 29 to 507 of the family's 1533-position model. The record is from RNAcentral.